Molecule: ribosomal RNA, 401 nt
Filed under: Nematoda sp. MM00459
Lineage: Eukaryota; Metazoa; Nematoda
Description: SSU rRNA
Rfam family: Eukaryotic small subunit ribosomal RNA
Source: RNAcentral
CAAUAGCGUAUAUUAAAGUUGUUGCGGUUAAAAAGCUCGUAGUUGGAUCUACGAUUAUGACCAGUGGUCGUCCACCUCGGAUGUACUGCUGCGUCUGAUCGAAUUAUCUGGUGUGCGAUUGAUGCUCUUUAUUGAGUGUCUCUAGCUGCUGGAACGUUUACCUUGAAAAAAUUGAAGUGCUCAAAGCAGGCCUAUGCCUGAACAUUGUUGCAUGGGAUAAUAGAAUAGGACUUCGGUUCUAUUUUGUUGGUUUCGGAACACGGAGUAAUGAUUAAUAGGGACAGACGGGGGCAUUCGUAUUGCUGCGUUAGAGGUGAAAUUCUUGGAUCGUAGCAAGACGCACUACUGCGAAAGCAUUUGCCAAGAAUGUUUUCAUUAAUCAAGAACGAAAGUUAGAGGUU